Molecule: microRNA precursor, 89 nt
Filed under: Podarcis lilfordi (Lilford's wall lizard)
Lineage: Eukaryota; Metazoa; Chordata; Lepidosauria; Squamata; Lacertidae
Source: RNAcentral
CUCUCUCUCUCUCUCUCUCUCUCUCUCUCUCUCUCUGUGUGUGUAUGUGUGUAAGUGAGAGAGGGAGAGAGGGAGAGGGGGAGAGAGAG